UCGGGAAUUUUGCGCAAUGGACGAAAGUCUGACGCAGCAACGCCGCGUGAGGGAUGACGGCCUUCGGGUUGUAAACCUCUUUUGUCAGGGACGAUGAUGACGGUACCUGACGAAUAAGCCACGGCUAACUACGUGCCAGCAGCCGCGGUAAUACGUAGGUGGCAAGCGUUGUCCGGAUUUACUGGGCGUAAAGAGCGCGCAGGCGGUCGUUCAAGUCGCGUGUGAAAGCCCCCGGCUCAACUGGGGAGGGUCACGCGAUACUGAUCGACUCGAAGGCAGGAGAGGGUAGUGGAAUUCCCGGUGUAGUGGUGAAAUGCGUAGAUAUCGGGAGGAACACCAGUGGCGAAGGCGACUACCUGGCCUGUUCUUGACGCUGAGGGCGCGAAAGCUAGGGGGAGCAAACGGGGAUUAGAUACCCCGGUAGUCCUAGCCGUAAACGAUGGACACUAGGUGUUGGUGGUAUCAACCCCGCCAGUGCCGAAGCUAACGCAUUAAG
RNAcentral lists this ribosomal RNA (496 nucleotides) under uncultured Acidobacteriota bacterium. RNAcentral describes it as "bacterial SSU rRNA". It matches the Rfam family "Bacterial small subunit ribosomal RNA", at positions 355 to 864 of the family's 1533-position model. The record is from RNAcentral. Lineage: Bacteria; Pseudomonadati; Acidobacteriota.